AUUGAACGCUCGCGGCAGGCCUAACUCACGCUACUCGAUCGGCUUAACGGAGCUUGCUCCUGUAUUCAGCGGCGGACGGGUGAGUCAUGCCUAAGACUCUGCCUCGUAGUCUGGGAUACCGUCCGUCACCGGGCGCUACUACCUCAUACGUCCUGACUGCGAAAGUCUGGGAUCUUCGGACCUCACGCUAUCAGAUGAGCCUAGGUCGGAUUCGCUAGUUGGUGGGGUAAAGGCCUACCAAGGCGACGAUCCGUAACUGGUCUGAGAGGAUGAUCAGUCACACUGGAACUGAGACACGGUCCAGACUCCUACGGGAGGCAGCAGUGGGGAAUAUUGGACAAUGGGCGAAAGCCUGAUCCAGCCAUGCCGCGUGUGUGAAGAAGGUCUUCGGAUUGUAAAGCACUUUAAGUUGGGAGGAAGGGCAGUAAGUUAAUACCUUGCUGUUUUGACGUUACCAACAGAAUAAGCACCGGCUAACUUCGUG
Molecule: ribosomal RNA, 484 nt
Filed under: uncultured bacterium
Lineage: Bacteria
Description: partial 16S ribosomal RNA
Rfam family: Bacterial small subunit ribosomal RNA
Source: RNAcentral